GCAAGUCGAACGAAUCUUUCGGGAUUAGUGGCGGACGGGUGAGUAACGCGUGAGAAUCUGCCUUCAGGAUGGGGACAACAGUGGGAAAUCGCUGCUAAAACCCAAUAUGCCGAGAGGUGAAAUAUUUAUAGCCUGAAGAGGAGCUCGCGUCCGAUUAGUUAGUUGGUGGGGUAAAAGCCUACCAAGGCGACGAUGAUUAGCUGGUCUGAGAGGAUGAUC
RNAcentral lists this ribosomal RNA (219 nucleotides) under uncultured bacterium. RNAcentral describes it as "partial 16S ribosomal RNA". It matches the Rfam family "Bacterial small subunit ribosomal RNA", at positions 57 to 305 of the family's 1533-position model. The record is from RNAcentral.